UUAGCUAGGGCGGAUGUAGCCAAGUGGAUCAAGGCAGUGGA
RNAcentral lists this transfer RNA (41 nucleotides) under Dioscorea menglaensis. RNAcentral describes it as "partial tRNA-His". The record is from RNAcentral. Lineage: Eukaryota; Viridiplantae; Streptophyta; Magnoliopsida; Dioscoreales; Dioscoreaceae.